GUCAUCAUAGCUUAGUGGUUUGAGUGUUGGACUACAACUCUGGAGACCAGGGUUCGAGUCCCAGCUCAGCCA
Non-coding RNA from Phrynosoma platyrhinos (Desert horned lizard), 72 nucleotides. The record is from the annotation of a GenBank genome assembly. Lineage: Eukaryota; Metazoa; Chordata; Lepidosauria; Squamata; Phrynosomatidae.